UCAUCCCCCUCCCAGCAGGCGGGUCAUAUGGUGGGGUGGUGGUCAGUCCCUUCCCAGUGGGUGGAUCACACAGUGAGGUAGUAUUCAGACAGCUGGUCAGCCCUUCUUCCUCUCUCUCUCUCUCUGCUUGCUGGUCUCUAUUUCUACAGCUUCUGUUCCUUCGUUGAUUCCUCUGCUUGCCUCCUUUUACCUUCUUACCUCUUUUCCCCUUCCUCUUCCUCCUUUCUCUACCCCACAGAAGCCUCCUUUAUUCCUAUCGCCUUCUCUCUCUUUCUCUCUUGCCCCACAAACGCCUCCCUUAUUGCUAUCAUCCUCCUCCUCUCUCUCUCCCUCGGCUUUCUCCACAGAAGCCUCCCUUAUUCCGAUUGCCAUUUCUCUCUCUGUCCCUCGCUUUACUUUUUCUUUCCCGCCAAAAGCUCUCCCUUUACAAACCCCUUCUCCUCUUCUCCCCGCCUCUUCCUCUUUUCUUCCGGGCGCGCCGCCUUCUGGGGCUCUGGUAGAGCUCCAGUCUCAGUCGCUGACCUAGUCUAACCACCCGCCAGCCAGCUGACCGUUGCAGGCAGCGCUGAUCAGGUGGAGCCGCAAGAACUGAUCCCUGGGCCUCAGCACAGCGCAGGCAGUGCCCCAGCUUCAGCUGACUCCCCCCAAGGCCUGUGUGCUGCUGACGGCGACAGCUGAGACCGACGGAGCCCCGGAUCCGCGCGUUGCUUAGGCAGAGCUCCAGCUGGUGAACCCAGUCAGCGCCGAUCAGCUGGAGCCGCGCUGGCUGAUCCGCUUCAGCUCAUCUCUCCGGUACAGAUGUCACUUAACUUGGUUGAUGCAGAUUUCUUUUUGGAAGAGAAUAAAUUCAAGCAAUAUUGUACAGAAUUUCUCCAAUAUUCACAAAGAAUUGGGGAUGAUUGGCAAUGGAAAAGCAUAAAGGACUCUACUGAUGGCUACAUGAGUAAAACACAUUUUCAGCUGAAAAAUAGAAGUAUCUCUUCAGGCAGAGUGGACAUAGUAAAUGAUGAACCAACAUUUUUGUCUGUUGAGGAAGGUCUGGAUGAUUCUCAAGAGGCUGGAGUCUCUGAAGUAUCAGAGGUGAUUCGUUAUGAAUAUCAUGUUCUAUAUUCCUGCAGUUAUCAAGCUCCUGUUCUCUAUUUUAGGGCAAGUUUUUUAGAUGGAAAAUCUUUAACAUUAGAUGAAAUAUGGAAAAGUGUGCAUGAAUGCUAUAUGGAUCGCCUUUGGCAAGGACCAUGGGAUACAAUUACGCAACAGGAACAUCCACUACUUGGUCAGCCUUUCUUUGUAAUUCAUCCCUGCCGGACAAAUGAAUUUAUGUCUUCAAUAUUAUCCAAUUUACAUAAACAAAAAAACUAUCGGAGAAAACAGGUCACAAAAUAAGGCAUACAAAUUACAUUAUUUCAUGGUUGAGUGUUGUUGGCCCAGUUGUGGGUCUCCAUCUGCCUUUGAGUUACGCAAAAACCAAUUUGGAAGAGACUACAGGUGCUCAUUAAAGAGAUUAUGGACAGAAAAAUAUGGAUUUGGAGUAAAAUAUAAAGUGUCACAAGCCUUAUAAUUUAACUUAUACUUGGAGCUAAGGAUAAUACAACAAUGGAGACCAUGUUGCGUUGAUAUAGUGUGAUGAACAUCCAGUUUACAAAGAAGUUUUCAUUUCAAUCUAAAUACAUGAUGCCACUGGGAUACAAA
RNA transcript from Crotalus tigris (Tiger rattlesnake), 1689 nucleotides. It is a transcript of the gene named autophagy related 10, with no coding region annotated. Lineage: Eukaryota; Metazoa; Chordata; Lepidosauria; Squamata; Viperidae. The record is from RefSeq and is a predicted model, not a curated record. The transcript is spliced from 9 exons.